Molecule: ribosomal RNA, 393 nt
Filed under: uncultured bacterium
Lineage: Bacteria
Description: partial 16S ribosomal RNA
Rfam family: Bacterial small subunit ribosomal RNA
Source: RNAcentral
CUACGGAGGAUCCGAGCGUUAUCCGGAUUUAUUGGGUUUAAAGGGUGCGUAGGUGGGCCUGUAAGUCAGUGGUGAAAGUUUGCAGCUUAACUGUAAAAUUGCCGUUGAAACUGCCGGUCUUGAGUGCAAAUGAGGUAAGCGGAAUGUGUUGUGUAGCGGUGAAAUGCUUAGAUAUGACACAGAACACCGAUUGCGAAGGCAGCUUACUGGGAUGCCACUGCCACUGAGGCACGAAAGCGUGGGUAUCAAACAGGAUUAGAUACCCUGGUAGUCCUCGCAGUAAACGUUGAAUGCUAGUUGUCUGCGAUAUAUUGUAGGUGCCUCAGCGAAAGCGUUAAGUAAUACAGCUGGGGAGUACGUUCGCAAGACUGAGACUCAAAUGAAUUGACGGGG